UCCUUUUUAUGGCUGAGUAAUACUCCAUUGUGUGGAUACAUCACAUUUUGUUUAUUUAUUCAUCAGUUGAUCACCAUUUGGGUUGUUUCCACUUGGCCAUCGUGAAUAGUGCUUCUGUGAGCAUUUGUACAAGUUUUUGUGGGGACAUACAUUUUCAUUUCUCUCGGAAAUUACCUAGGAGUGGAAUUAUUAGUUCAUGGGGUAGCUCUGUGUUUAACCAUCUGAGAAGCUGCCAGGCUUUUCCAAAGCAGUUGCGCCAUUUCACAUCCCCAUCCUUGGGGGAUGAGGGCUUCGAUUUCUCCACAGCCUCAUCAGCACUUGCUAUUGUCCAAUUUUUUUUAAACCAUAGCCAUUCUAGUGGAUGUGAGGUGCUACCUCAUCAUGGUCUGACUCACGAGGCUCUAACGGCUGGUGGUGCUGAGCAUCUUUUCAUGUGCUUAUCAGCCAUUCAUGUCUUCGGUUUGGUGUCUGUUCAUAUCCUUUGCGCACUUUUGAACUGGGUUAUUUGAGUUUUGUUGAGCUGUAAGAGUUCUUUAUGUAUUGUACAUACAAGGCCCUUAUGAGAUGUAUAAUGUGUAAUGACUUUCUCCCAUUCUGUGGGAUCUUACUUUCUUGAUGGUGUCCCUUGAUGCAGGGAAGUUUUAAGUUUUGAUAAGUCCAGUUUGUUCUCUUUCUGUGUCAUCCAAGAAAGCAUUGCCUAAUCCAAGGUCACGGAGUCACACCUGUGUUUUCUUCUUGGCACUUUGUAGUUUUAGUCCUUGCAUAUGCCUCAUUUUUGAUAUGUUGGCUCAAAUGUAUUUUCAUAUUCAGGAUGGAAAUACCUACCGGCUCCCCGAUCCAGUGAAGGAGGAGAGCAUGGCAGCAGGCAGAUGUGACAAGUGGCUGUCACCUCAAAGGAAGCAGGACCAACAGGUGAAGGUGCGCGUGCAGUAGGUUCUGUGUUCGCAGGGUGCUCACAGGCUUUGGGGGAGGGAGUCAGUGGCUGGGUGUCAUUGUCUCAGGAUGGAGGCGUCCUCCUGGGGAAGCCUGGGCAGGGACCAGGAGUCAGGCUGCGCUGCUCUGGGGGGCAGGCUGGCGCUUGAGCCUGGAGCGUCCCCUCUGCCGCCUGCCUAUGGUUCCUCGUAGGCUGCCAUCUCUUCUCUGUCGGUGUUUGGGUGUCCGGCAUGGAGUUUUUCAAGCCUCUGAGACAGGCGCUGAGGCCGGAGGUGGAGGCACAGAGCCCCCCAGGAGCCUGGAAACCCUCGACGGCAUGAGCACAGCUCCUCUGGGGACGCCUGCGUCGGAGCCUGUGGGCCCAGUGAGCCAGCCCCCGGGGAGCACCGCCAAGCUUGACUUGCGCGUUCAUUCAUCCACCUUCCAUGCCGGCCCUGUGGGGGCAGUGCCGAGGACACCAUGGUAACAGGGACGGCCCCAGCCUGGCG
Manis pentadactyla (Chinese pangolin) is the source of this 1421-nucleotide long non-coding RNA. RefSeq lists it as uncharacterized. The record is from RefSeq and is a predicted model, not a curated record. NCBI's taxonomy places the organism in Eukaryota, Metazoa, Chordata, Mammalia, Pholidota, Manidae. The transcript has 3 exons.